GGGUCAGUAGGUUGGUCGUGCCACCGGUACGUACUGGUCUCACUGAUUUCUCCUUCCUGAAGAACCGUAAUACCAUUAAUUUGGUGUUGCGGGGAAACAGGACUGUUACUUUGAAAAAAUUAGAGUGUUUAAAGCAAGCUAACGCUUGAAUACAUUAGCAUGGAAUAAUGAAAUAGGACGAUCGAUCCUAUUUUGUUGGUUUCUAGGAUUGACGUA
This 216-nucleotide ribosomal RNA is filed under the name Glomeromycotina sp. Its description in RNAcentral is "partial small subunit ribosomal RNA". The stretch from base 40 to 216 matches the Rfam family "Eukaryotic small subunit ribosomal RNA", at positions 686 to 864 of the family's 1831-position model. Lineage: Eukaryota; Fungi; Glomeromycota. The record is from RNAcentral.